UGGGGAAUAUUGCACAAUGGGCGCAAGCCUGAUGCAGCCAUGCCGCGUGUGUGAAGAAGGCCUUCGGGUUGUAAAGCACUUUCAGCGGGGAGGAAGGCGAUAAGGUUAAUAACCUUGUCGAUUGACGUUACCCGCAGAAGAAGCACCGGCUAACUCCGUGCCAGCAGCCGCGGUAAUACGGAGGGUGCAAGCGUUAAUCGGAAUUACUGGGCGUAAAGCGCACGCAGGCGGUCUGUCAAGUCGGAUGUGAAAUCCCCGGGCUCAACCUGGGAACUGCAUCUGAUACUGGCAAGCUUGAGUCUCGUAGAGGGGGGUAGAAUUCCAGGUGUAGCGAUGAAAUGCGUAGAGAUCUGGAGGAAUACCGGUGGCGAAGGCGGCCCCCUGGACGAAGACUGACGCUCAGGUGCGAAAGCGUGGGGAGCAAACAGG
RNAcentral lists this ribosomal RNA (429 nucleotides) under Chloroflexota bacterium. RNAcentral describes it as "Chloroflexi bacterium partial 16S ribosomal RNA". It matches the Rfam family "Bacterial small subunit ribosomal RNA", at positions 355 to 776 of the family's 1533-position model. The record is from RNAcentral. Lineage: Bacteria; Bacillati; Chloroflexota.